This 542-nucleotide ribosomal RNA is filed under the name Rothia kristinae. RNAcentral's name for it is "bacterial SSU rRNA". It matches the Rfam family "Bacterial small subunit ribosomal RNA", at positions 365 to 917 of the family's 1533-position model. Lineage: Bacteria; Bacillati; Actinomycetota; Actinomycetes; Micrococcales; Micrococcaceae. The record is from RNAcentral.
UGCAUGCAUGGGCGCAGCCUGAUGCAGCGACGCCGCGUGAGGGAUGACGGCCUUCGGGUUGUAAACCUCUUUCAGCAGGGAAGAAGCGGAAGUGACGGUACCUGCAGAAGAAGCGCCGGCUAACUACGUGCCAGCAGCCGCGGUAAUACGUAGGGCGCAAGCGUUGUCCGGAAUUAUUGGGCGUAAAGAGCUCGUAGGCGGCUUGUCGCGUCUGCUGUGAAAGCCCGGGGCUUAACUCCGGGUGUGCAGUGGGUACGGGCAGGCUAGAGUGCAGUAGGGGUAACUGGAAUUCCUGGUGUAGCGGUGAAAUGCGCAGAUAUCAGGAGGAACACCGAUGGCGAAGGCAGGUUACUGGGCUGUUACUGACGCUGAGGAGCGAAAGCAUGGGGAGCGAACAGGAUUAGAUACCCUGGUAGUCCAUGCCGUAAACGUUGGGCACUAGGUGUGGGGGACAUUCCACGUUUUCCGCGCCGUAGCUAACGCAUUAAGUGCCCCGCCUGGGGAGUACGGCCGCAAGGCUAAAACUCAAUGAAUUUGACGGA